Vidua macroura (Pin-tailed whydah) is the source of this 457-nucleotide long non-coding RNA. RefSeq lists it as uncharacterized. The record is from RefSeq and is a predicted model, not a curated record. NCBI's taxonomy places the organism in Eukaryota, Metazoa, Chordata, Aves, Passeriformes, Viduidae. The transcript has 2 exons.
CCAAAGGAGUGGCAGCCAGAGGAGCAGAGAUGGGAGUCCAAGGGCUAGCAGUGACCUCUGAAGAGCCAGCUGAGAGAUGGACAUUUGGUUUAGGGAUAAGGACUCUACUCUCCAGCCUGACUGUAAUCAGUCAUCCAGAAAGGCAACAAGUAGAUGAGUGUGUGCCUUGAAAUCUGGAAGUGCCAGUUCUUUGGAAUCCUUACUAUACAAGCAACUUCGGUCAAAUUAGGUUUUUAGGGCACUAACAGGUGCAUAGUACCAACAAAACACCUCAACAACCAGUUAAAAGCUUUGUUUUCCUGCUCUCCUGGCUCUCCUGUGAAAAUCCUCAACAACGAGCCACAGGCUUGCAGAGCACCACGGAAUGGUAAACCUGCUUAUCAGGCCACCUUCUAGGAUACACAGAACUCAUGGUCAUAUCCUUGAACUAGAAUAAAAACCUGCUCCAUGAUCUAGA